UUUCCGUAGGUGAACCUGCGGAAGGAUCAUUCAUAAUAAGUGUACUACUGCACUUUUGAAAAAUAGUACUCACCUUGUGUGCAAUGUUGUGUGGAAUUCCUACUUUCGAGGGAGAAUUUCACACCUACACCAACCUAUAAACUUGAAAUACUUUGUCUGAAAAACUAUUAUGAAUACUUUAUUCAAAAUACAACUUUCAACAACGGAUCUCUUGGCUCUC
RNAcentral lists this unclassified non-coding RNA (220 nucleotides) under plant metagenome. RNAcentral describes it as "partial contains small subunit ribosomal RNA, internal transcribed spacer 1, and 5.8S ribosomal RNA". The record is from RNAcentral.